This 434-nucleotide ribosomal RNA is filed under the name uncultured bacterium. Its description in RNAcentral is "partial 16S ribosomal RNA". It matches the Rfam family "Bacterial small subunit ribosomal RNA", at positions 29 to 507 of the family's 1533-position model. The record is from RNAcentral.
AGCGAACGCUGGCGGCAGGCCUAACACAUGCAAGUCGAACGAACCUUUCGGGGUUAGUGGCGGACGGGGGAGUAACACGUGGGAACGUGCCUUUAGGUUCGGAAUAACUCAGGUAAACUUGUGCUAAUACCGAAUGUGCCCUUCGGGGGCAAGAUUUAUCGCCUUUAGAGCGGCCCGCGUCUGAUUAGCUAGUUGGUUGAGGUAAUGGCUCACCAAGGCGACGAUCAGUAGCUGGUCUGAGAGGAUGAGCAGCCACAUUGGGACUGAGACACGGCCCAAACUCCUACGGGAGGCAGCAGUGGGGAAUCUUGCGAAAUGGGCGAAAGCCUGACGCAGCCAUGCCGCGUGAAUGAUGAAGGUCUUAGGAUUGUAAAAUUCUUUCACCGGGGACGAUAAUGACGGUACCCGGAGAAGAAGCCCCGGCUAACUUCGUG